This 384-nucleotide small RNA is filed under the name Drosophila ananassae. Its description in RNAcentral is "GF28177". Lineage: Eukaryota; Metazoa; Arthropoda; Insecta; Diptera; Drosophilidae. The record is from RNAcentral.
UAUACCAAAACUAUCAAUAUAUCGAUAAACGUAGUGCUGCAAUCGGGUAGCAAAGAUAUAAUACCCUUUAUCGUUGCUUUUUUCGUUUCGGCUAAGUACAGGGUGCCUUUGGUAUGUAGCGACUAUCGCAACAGCCGGGUCAAUACUCCCAUCACUAGCCUAAGAAAAUUGUAAACACGACGUGGACUUGUAGUAAUUAUUAGAAUUUAGCCAAAAUAAUGCAACAAAUUGUAGCAAUUCUCUUGCUGGCGCUUGUUUAAAUGCAGCUUAAUUUGAGAAAUUUUCAACACUUUCAACAGCUUAAUUUGAGAAAUUUUCAACACUUUCAACAGCUUAAUUUGAGAAAUUUUCAACACUAAAACGAAAAUCAAAAUAUAUAUAUAU